This is an RNA transcript of Cicer arietinum (chickpea), 2599 nucleotides long. RefSeq lists it as uncharacterized. Lineage: Eukaryota; Viridiplantae; Streptophyta; Magnoliopsida; Fabales; Fabaceae. The record is from RefSeq and is a predicted model, not a curated record.
AGAAUUGAAUGCAGGGUUUUUAACAAGCAGGGUUUUUAACAAGCAGGGUUUUUAAACAAACAGGGUUUUAAGCAACCGGGUCUCUCACCCGACCCACAAAAAUCUCACGCUGUAACUUUUCUGCAACCGAGAAACGCACGAUUUCAGCGCUUCUACGAUUAAGCACGACGAUCCUCUGAUAAGCUGUAGAAGAGGAGUUUUUUUGGAGUAAAAAUGAAGUACGUUUUGGUGACUGGUGGAGUUGUUAGUGGACUUGGAAAAGGAGUCACUGCAAGCAGCAUUGGCGUACUCCUUCAAGCUUGUGGUUUUCGUGUUACUUCCAUCAAAAUUGAUCCGUACCUGAACACUGAUGCAGGGACAAUGUCUCCUUUUGAGCAUGGGGAGGUGUUUGUCUUAGAUGAUGGUGGUGAGGUUGAUCUUGAUCUUGGAAACUAUGAACGUUUCUUGGACAUCAAAUUAACUCGCGACAAUAAUAUCACAACUGGAAAAAUUUAUCAGUCUGUUGUUGAGAAGGAAAGAAAAGGAGAUUAUCUUGGCAAAACUGUCCAGGUUGUUCCACACAUUACAGAUGCCAUCCAAGAGUGGAUAGAACGUGUUGCACAGGUACCUGUUGAUGGAAAAGAAGGCCCAGCUGAUGUUUGUGUUAUUGAAUUGGGUGGAACUAUAGGUGAUAUUGAAUCUAUGCCUUUUAUUGAAGCACUUGGACAAUUUUCAUACCGCGUAGGUCCUUGCAACUUCUGUUUGGUUCAUGUCAGCCUGGUGCCUGUUCUCAAUGUUGUUGGCGAACAGAAAACAAAACCAACCCAGCACAGUGUCCGUCAACUUCGAGGGUUAGGAUUGAUCCCAAAUCUUCUCGCUUGUCGCAGUUCAAAGGAACUUGAUGAUAAUGUUAAGGCAAAACUUGCUCAAUUUUGUCAUGUGCCGUUAUCAAAUAUACUCACUUUAUGUGAUGUUCCAAAUAUUUGGCACAUUCCUUUGCUGUUAAGAGACCAGAAGGCACAUGAAGCAAUCCUGAAAACAUUGAACCUGCAAGGUGUUGCUACAGAGCCUAAUUUUAAGGAGUGGAUCACUCGAACAAAAGUUUAUGACAAUUUUAAUGAAUCUGUUAGAAUUGCAAUGGUGGGAAAAUAUACAGGCCUUUCUGAUGCAUAUCUUUCUGUGCUGAAGGCACUUAUGCAUGCUUCUGUUGCUUGCAAUCGCAAGCUCAUUGUGGACUGGGUUCCUGCUGGGGAUCUGGAAGAUGAUACCUUUAAAGAGGAUCCUGAUGCAUAUAAAGCUGCUUGGAGUCUUUUAGAGGGUGCUAAUGGGAUUCUAGUUCCAGGAGGUUUUGGUGAUAGAGGAGUACAAGGGAAAACUUUUGCUGCUAAGUAUGCUCGAGAAAAUAGUGUUCCAUUUCUGGGCAUUUGCUUGGGGAUGCAAAUUGCUGUCAUUGAAUUUGCAAGAUCUGUUCUUGGUCUUGAUGAUGCUAAUAGCACAGAAUUUGAUCCUGAAACAAAAAAUCCUUGUGUCAUAUUUAUGCCAGAAGGUUCAAAGACUCAUAUGGGUGGAACUAUGCGUCUUGGUUCGAGGAGAACAUACUUCCAUGUUGAUGAGUGCAAAUCAGCCAAGUUGUAUGACAAUGUAAACUUUAUCGAUGAGCGACAUCGCCAUAGAUACGAGGUUAAUCCUGACAUGAUAUCACAACUUGAAACUGCUGGUCUUUCCUUUGUUGGCAAAGACGAAACUGGGAGACGUAUGGAGAUAGUUGAAAUGCCUGGUCAUCCUUUCUUUAUUGGUGCUCAGUUUCACCCAGAGUUUAAGUCAAGACCUGGGAAACCUUCUCCACUAUUCUCUGGAUUAAUCGAAGCAGCAUGUGAGAGGACAGUUGUGUUAAAAAGCAAAGGGAAUGCGAAUUUAACCAAUGGGGUACUUGAAGUACACUCGCCAACGUCGAAAUCACAGAAUGGAAAUGGGUUCAUAUCUUCCAAUGGUUCCUUAAAUGGUGUAUGUCCCAAUGGCAAUGGCGUCUAUGUUGAUGGGGAAGUUUAGUAAUAUCAACUUUUUUAGCUUACAAUUGUGCUUUGGUUUUCUCCUAGCACAUUUUUGUCCUUGGUUAGCUUGUACAGUUUGAAGUGGUUGGUUAGAUAACUUUGAGCUUUAUCUAAUGCUUUUGUUUCCAGCAUGAAGCAAAUUUUGGGUGUAACAGCUUUUGUUUCAAAGCAUAUAGGGAAAAAACCACUUUCCUUUUGUUUUCAUUUUUUCUUAUUCCUGAAUAUUGUGGGCUCUGAUUCUGGAGGAACAUAACAAAUGGACAAAUGGAACAAGUUUCAAACAUUUGGAGGAAAAACAUUUGGAAUCUGAUUAUGCAGCUGCAACAUUUGGCAUUCUAGUUCUUUGAUAUUCUUAUGCAAGAAGCACAUGAUUAUGUCUAAAUCUUAUACACUUUUUUCAAAAUCACUUGGUUAAUCAUUUCUAUUCUCAUUUUUCCUUUCUUCUUUCUAGUUAUGUAGCUAUUGCAUAGCUAAACAAUAGAACAGUUUUGUCUCCUUCAUAUUGUUAAGGUUCAUCGUCAGACUCACUAAUUACUAUUUCAAGGAUUGCUCUAUUAACUUAGUUAUCA